Molecule: ribosomal RNA, 167 nt
Filed under: uncultured Actinomycetes bacterium
Lineage: Bacteria; Bacillati; Actinomycetota; Actinomycetes
Description: uncultured actinobacterium partial 16S ribosomal RNA
Rfam family: Bacterial small subunit ribosomal RNA
Source: RNAcentral
CGGAGGAAGGUGGGGAUGACGUCAAGUCAUCAUGCCCCUUAUGUCCAGGGCUUCACGCAUGCUACAAUGGCCGGUACAAUGGGCUGCGAUACCGUGAGGUGGAGCGAAUCCCAAAAAGCCGGUCUCAGUUCGGAUCGGGGUCUGCAACUCGACCCCGUGAAGUCGGA